RNAcentral lists this ribosomal RNA (253 nucleotides) under uncultured bacterium. RNAcentral's name for it is "partial 16S ribosomal RNA". It matches the Rfam family "Bacterial small subunit ribosomal RNA", at positions 524 to 776 of the family's 1533-position model. The record is from RNAcentral.
UACGGGGGGGGCAAGCGUUGUUCGGAAUUACUGGGCGUAAAGGGCUCGUAGGUGGCCAACUAAGUCGGACGUGAAAUCCCUCGGCUUAACCGGGGAACUGCAUCCGAUACUGGAUGGCUUGAGUUCGGGAGAGGGAUGCGGAAUUCCAGGUGUAGCGGUGAAAUGCGUAGAUAUCUGGAGGAACACCGGUGGCGAAGGCGGCAUCCUGGACCGACACUGACGCUGAGGAGCGAAAGCCAGGGGAGCAAACAGG